RNAcentral lists this ribosomal RNA (119 nucleotides) under Carassius auratus (goldfish). The record is from RNAcentral. Lineage: Eukaryota; Metazoa; Chordata; Actinopteri; Cypriniformes; Cyprinidae.
GCUUACGGCCAUACCAACCUGGCUAUGCCCGAUCUCGUCUGAUCUCGGAAGCUAAGCAGGUUUGGGCCUGGUUAGUAAUUGGAUGGGAGACCGCCUGGGAAUACCAGGUGCUGUAAGCU